UCUACAACGUUUGUUCCUGCAUCAGGCUAACAAGUGCAUUGUUACAGUGUGCCUUCUUUUUCUGAUCAGGGUCGUUCUCGUCCUCUUGAAGGGAAGCGCUGAGAGCUGCAAGGCCACAAGAGGGCAUGUUCUCUUUUACGUCGAUCCACUUGACUGCUGGCCAUGCAACUUCAAGUCGACAGUGCGUAUUUAGUACAUUGAUGUUCCAGAUUCUGCUGAGAACUGAAAUGAUUCCACAAAGUCUUUGGCACCUUCACACUCUCCUCUUGCCUCACAGGAGCCCAUUACUCACAAAGGUGUUGAUGAGUUUCGCAAGACAGACUGUUGUCUGUCUCACGCAGUACAAGGCUACCAAGGUCAUUUGAUACUAUCAAAGAGCUGGUAACGUAAGAUGGAUUUGAAAUAGCUCCAUAUUACGUGGCGAAGUCCUGGAGUCAUCCUUCUCUUUGGAAAGAAGACUUAAUACUUCAAAGGUGACAUGAAGGUGAGAAUCCAGCAUACUCCAUUGUACCUCAGACAUCUGUGUGCCUUAUGUGUAGACAGUCUCACCUGGGUGUCCAGUCUGCAUUCUUUCUGUUAAAUAUAACUUAAAGUUACUGUAUUUGCCUUCUUCCUUGGGGAAGAAAACCCAGUGUGUUUAGUCUCUUUGUUUCUUUGCUGUUUCUGAGAUUACAAUGGAAACAUUCAUGCUUUUCCUUUCAGUAAGGUCUCCUCAAUGAUGUUACUACUGUUGGGUCUGGCUUUUUUCUCAGGCUUGAAGAGUAACAGUAACUUCAAGUACAUUCCCAUUUUGAAAAGAGACUGUAAAAAUGGCAUCAAGGGCUCCUUUUUCCUUCUCACUAAGGCUGUGCCAGUACUGGCUGCAGACAUCAAAUAGAAAUUACUUUGCAAAGCUGAUGGUGCACAAGGGACCAGCCUCCUUGAUGAAAACCAAGCCUUGCUGAAAGCACAGAUUGCACCCUGAAUGCAUGUGGGCAGGAGCUGGAUGAAUAAGAGAGAAAGUGGAUGACUUGGUUGAGAUUCUAAAGGAACCGAGGGAGAAACUGAUAAGCAAAACAAACCAGCUCUCCAUAACAGCUGGGAUUUGGGAGGUCCUUGUUCCCAUCCUGAGAUGGUGAUCUUCUGACUCAGUAUCUCCUCCUAUCUCUUCCAUGUGAAGUCUGGCAUCACCCUUUCACAUUAGUUUUCUGUUUGGUUUUAACUAUGCUGUCUUGAACUUCUUCAUCUUUUCAAGGCAAACAUGAGUUUUGCUCCAUGACAGAUGACUUUAAAAACUCAAGCAGACAAGCAUUUUUAAUUAGAGUCAAACCAAAGUCAAAUCAGGCUGAAAUAAACUGCAUUCUGGUCUAGCACAACAUUAGCCCUUAAACAAAUAGCGAGAAGCCUGGGCUGCCUCUGUACAGCAGAUGGCAUUACAGGUAAUAUUUAUCAUACUCCAAUCCCAAGGCUAAGAUAGCAGGGAGGGAGCACUGACGUCAGCUACAAGUGAAUCAGUCUUAAUACAAGCUGAAAAACUGCUUGUGCCUUCCACAGUUGAUUACAUUGCACAGCACUUCUGCUUAGAGUUCCCCAUUGCAUUUAUUGGUCUGAGCAAGCCUAGCAGGAAGAGUUCAUUUUGUUUUGCAGCUUAACUGAACUGAUGGAAGUGGAUCUUGGACUUUGAGGUGGGAAGAUUCCACCCAGCUGCAGUAACCAGGGGAAUGCCCUUUGCCCCGGUUUUGGUGCCAAAUUUGUGCAUUUGAGAAUUUUAAACAAAUAUCACUUGGCAGGAUAUUGACCCUCAGGGUACAAGAAUAAUGCAGAGUGAGGCUGCAGGAGGGCAUGUCCUGGGAGGGAUUUAUGGGAGACCUAUCAGGACUCGUACUGAACAGUGGGGAAACCCAAAUGUCCUGUUUCAUUUCCAACGGUUGUUCUUUGUCUCAUGGGAGAUAAGUGAGCUGAAUGAAAACCAACAGCAGUUUUGCAUCUGGGCACAGUGUGAGUGAAAGACUACGGUGCAGGAGUGAAAGAGUUCAGCAGUGGUCACUAAUUCUCAUAUAGAUGAUGCCACCUUCCUCGUGUCUGGGUGCUGAGCAGGGAUUGAGGAGCAUGAGCUGGCAUGGGAGCCCUUACUGAAACAUGGGGCUGUGCUCUACCAAGUGUGUUUGACAGCCUUGUGCUCACACUGUUUCCCAACCCAUGCUGACUGGCAAAGCAGUACAGAGAGUGUCCCAUCCAGCUCCGGGAAACACCCCAUGCUUCCAACCAAACCUGGGUUCUCUGUGGCUCAACACAGUGUGC
This is a long non-coding RNA of Pezoporus flaviventris, 2280 nucleotides long. RefSeq lists it as uncharacterized. Lineage: Eukaryota; Metazoa; Chordata; Aves; Psittaciformes; Psittacidae. The transcript has 3 exons. The record is from RefSeq and is a predicted model, not a curated record.